CCGGCGCGUGGAAGCAGGGUACGGCGCCUGCGGAUCCCCUGGACGUGGACUCAGGCGGGGACAGCGUUGAUGGAGCGUCUGCUCCGCCCAGGCACCGUUCAGGGCGAAGCCUGGCCUUGAGGGGCUUGUAUAGUGGGAGUCACAAAGGACUCGCCAACAAGACAACUGGUAGUGCUAGGGAGGCCUGCGGAGAAGGAGAAAUAGGUAAAAGGUGGUAGGAGGAACGGGGUCUCCUCAUGUUGCCCAGGCUGGUCUCGAACUCCUCAAGCGAUCCACCUGCCUCAGCCUCCCAGAGCACUGGAAUUACAGGCGUGAGCCACCCCGCGGGGCCUGCUGAGCUUUAUUGGAAAGUGGCUAGUCCGAAUUGAGAUGUGAUAUAAGUGUGAAAUACACACACUAGAUUUUGAGGACUGAGAAUGAGAAAAAGAAUGUAAAAUAUCUCACUAACUUUAUAUGAAUCACAUGUUAAACAUAAUAUUU
Molecule: long non-coding RNA, 480 nt
Filed under: Homo sapiens (human)
Lineage: Eukaryota; Metazoa; Chordata; Mammalia; Primates; Hominidae
Description: HSALNT0129717
Source: RNAcentral